Bufo bufo (common toad) is the source of this 266-nucleotide long non-coding RNA. RefSeq lists it as uncharacterized. The transcript is spliced from 3 exons. NCBI's taxonomy places the organism in Eukaryota, Metazoa, Chordata, Amphibia, Anura, Bufonidae. The record is from RefSeq and is a predicted model, not a curated record.
UAAGAAUUAAUAACCAGCAUCUUGUCUCUUUAUUACCAGCCACCUUCUAUGUCGGCCUGGGGCUAUACGGUGCAGUACAGAUUGCAUCUGUACUCCUCUUCAUCUUCUGCUACAAGCAGAUGAAGAAAUGCUGCCGAGGCCUGGGCACCCGACUGGAGGAGGUGGUUGCGGAGAAGCCAGUCCUUAGAGCGGCAGCAAGUUACAUACAAGAAAAGUCCCGACUAGCAAAACAGUGCUUUCAUCGUGGAAGAAGAACCAAAGUCCUG